RNAcentral lists this ribosomal RNA (506 nucleotides) under uncultured bacterium. RNAcentral's name for it is "partial 16S ribosomal RNA". It matches the Rfam family "Bacterial small subunit ribosomal RNA", at positions 28 to 523 of the family's 1533-position model. The record is from RNAcentral.
GAUGAACGCUAGUUACAGGCUUAACACAUGCAAGUCGAGGGGUAACGAGAGGAAAGCUUGCUUUCCUUGUCGACGACCGGCGCACGGGUGAGUAACGCGUAUCCAACCUGCCCCCAACUAAGGAAUAACCUUGCGAAAGUAAGACUAAUACCUUAUAAUUUCCUCAGAUGUCAUCUGACGAGGAAUAAAGAUUUAUCGGUUGUGGAUGGGGAUGCGUCUGAUUAGCUUGUUGGCGGGGUAACGGCCCACCAAGGCAACGAUCAGUAGGGGUUCUGAGAGGAAGGUCCCCCACAUUGGAACUGAGACACGGUUCAAACUCCUACGGGAGGCAGCAGAGAGGAAUAUUGGUCAAUGGGCGGAAGCCUGAACCAGCCAAGUAGCGUGCAGGACGACGGCCCUAUGGGUUGUAAACUGCUUUUAUACAGGAAUAAAGUUAGCCACGUGUGGUUAUUUGUAGGUACUGUAUGAAUAAGGACCGGCUAAUUCCGUGCCAGCCGCCGCCGUAA